Molecule: ribosomal RNA, 253 nt
Filed under: uncultured bacterium
Lineage: Bacteria
Description: partial 16S ribosomal RNA
Rfam family: Bacterial small subunit ribosomal RNA
Source: RNAcentral
UACGUAGGGUGCGAGCGUUAAUCGGAAUUACUGGGCGUAAAGCGUGCGCAGGCGGUUCGUCGUGUCCGAUGUGAAAGCCCCGGGCUCAACCUGGGAAUGGCAUUGGAAACUGGCGGACUCGAGUGUGGCAGAGGGGGGUGGAAUUCCGCGUGUAGCAGUGAAAUGCGUAGAGAUCUGGAGGAACACCAGAGGCGAAGGCGGCCUGCUGGGCUGCACCUGACGCUGAGCCGCGAAAGCCAGGGGAGCGAACGGG